This 427-nucleotide ribosomal RNA is filed under the name uncultured bacterium. RNAcentral's name for it is "bacterial SSU rRNA". It matches the Rfam family "Bacterial small subunit ribosomal RNA", at positions 355 to 774 of the family's 1533-position model. The record is from RNAcentral.
UGGGGAAUUUUGGACAAUGGGCGAAAGCCUGAUCCAGCCAUGCCGCGUGAGUGAAGAAGGCCUUCGGGUUGUAAAGCUCUUUUAGUCGGAAAGAAAGAGUUGCAAUGAAUAAUUUUGAUUUAUGACGGUACCGACAGAAAAAGCACCGGCUAACUACGUGCCAGCAGCCGCGGUAAUACGUAGGGUGCGAGCGUUAAUCGGAAGUACUGGGCGUAAAGGGUGCGCAGGCGGUCUUGCAAGUCAGAUGUGAAAGCCCCGGGCUUAACCUGGGAAUUGCGUUUGAAACUACAAGCCUAGAGUGCAGCAGAGGGGAGUGGAAUUCCAUGUGUAGCAGUGAAAUGCGUAGAGAUGUGGAAGAACACCGAUGGCGAAGGCAGCUCCCUGGGUUGACACUGACGCUCAUGCACGAAAGCGUGGGGAGCAAACA